This 318-nucleotide ribosomal RNA is filed under the name Triticum aestivum (bread wheat). Its description in RNAcentral is "partial small subunit ribosomal RNA". Lineage: Eukaryota; Viridiplantae; Streptophyta; Magnoliopsida; Poales; Poaceae. The record is from RNAcentral.
AUGAUGGCACAAAGUACCAAAAAGAAAUGGCUUGCCUUCCACCAAAACACACUUGAUAAGGAUCACAAGAAGAGUGAAGAAAAUAUAAUAGCUCCCCCACGAGUUGUGCAUUAUAUAGGAUUUGUAUUUGAAUACAAAAUGCACAAGGUGGGAUCACUGCUUUCACUAUAUCCAGAAAACACUAGACAAGAACUAGAAAUAAACAAGAUCCACAAGUGGUAUGGAAGACAACGGGAGUUGACACAAUCCUUGGCAAGAGAAAAGGCAAGUAAAACAAAAGCCAAUGUAAAUAUGAUCAAUAAAUUCUACCACACAUAA